This 459-nucleotide long non-coding RNA is filed under the name Pan troglodytes (chimpanzee). RNAcentral's name for it is "lincRNA". Lineage: Eukaryota; Metazoa; Chordata; Mammalia; Primates; Hominidae. The record is from RNAcentral.
GAGCAAGUACCAUUUUAUGAAUAAAGCACCAUUGAAAUCAUUGCUAUUCCUUGAAGCCAAAAAAGUGUCAGUAAAACCCAGUCAGAAUUACCAUCUUCUGAACUCCAUGCGAGAAAACUCCAUUACUCCCAGAUACUGUUGGAUCUUCCACCAGAUUUACUCUGUGGCCCUCUGAGACUCCAUGUAACAGCAACUGCAUUUUAAUGCAAUGGCAGCUAUGAAAAACACAAAACUAUCAGUCAUUGUCAAAUACUCCAUAAAUGGAGACAGAGAAGGGGUUCAGUUCUCUGUGUAACAAGGACAGAGGAGAAAGGCAUCUGCAGUGUCAAAUCUACAGAGACAAGUGCACCUGGAGACAAAUGACCAGACUACCAUAAAACAGAAGCUUAAUUAUGUUCACUUACAUUUUCAAAUUAUUCCCAACAAAUUACCCUGUUUUUCCAGGUAGAAGAAGCAGAG